RNAcentral lists this ribosomal RNA (199 nucleotides) under Oidiodendron maius. RNAcentral describes it as "partial large subunit ribosomal RNA". It matches the Rfam family "Eukaryotic large subunit ribosomal RNA", at positions 82 to 278 of the family's 3401-position model. The record is from RNAcentral. Lineage: Eukaryota; Fungi; Ascomycota; Leotiomycetes; Myxotrichaceae.
AGUAACGGCGAGUGAAGCGGCAACAGCUCAAAUUUGAAAUCUGGCCCUCUCAGGGUCCGAGUUGUAAUUUGGAGAGGAUGCUUCGGGUGUGGCCCCGGUCUAAGUUCCUUGGAACAGGACGUCACAGAGGGUGAGAAUCCCGUACGUGCCCGGUGGCCGCCCCCGUGUGAAGCUCCUUCGACGAGUCGAGUUGUUUGGG